Molecule: transfer RNA, 76 nt
Filed under: bacterium
Lineage: Bacteria
Also listed under: 10 other names
Description: tRNA-Glu
Rfam family: tRNA
About the family: Transfer RNA (tRNA) molecules are approximately 80 nucleotides in length.
Source: RNAcentral
GUCCCCUUCGUCUAGAGGCCUAGGACAUCGCCCUUUCACGGCGACGACAGGGGUUCGACUCCCCUAGGGGACGCCA